CACGCACGCGCGCCCCACGUGCCCCCCGGCUCUGGCGCCGGGACUGCCUGGGGAUCCUAGGGCGGGGACCCUCACACCGCUUGAAGGUUGGGUCGACUUCACGCUAGUUUAAGGAACUAGCUGACGCUGAUAACCAGGUCCCAAGCACUGCUGUACUAUGCUAAAAACAGCCUUGGGAAGAGGACCUUCAGCACUGACCAACAAUCCUGGAUGUGGGCUGACUGACAGUUUCCACCCAGAGAGUGAAGAUCAUGGAGGAGCCAUCUUAAAUUCCGCCCACCACAGGCUCCCAGGAAUCCUAAUGUCACGAUCUCACUGCAGCCAAUGUGACUAACACAGCAGUAAUGAAGUCUGGAGAGCUAAACACACUUCAAAAAGAAUUGUCUCUUGGUAUGAGUGGAAUGGGGUAAAAUACAUGGAAACCCA
Saimiri boliviensis boliviensis (Bolivian squirrel monkey) is the source of this 426-nucleotide non-coding RNA. The record is from RefSeq and is a predicted model, not a curated record. NCBI's taxonomy places the organism in Eukaryota, Metazoa, Chordata, Mammalia, Primates, Cebidae.